Homo sapiens (human) is the source of this 857-nucleotide long non-coding RNA. Ensembl annotates it as cancer susceptibility 19. Its record names the gene CASC19. The record is from Ensembl. Lineage: Eukaryota; Metazoa; Chordata; Mammalia; Primates; Hominidae.
GAGGUCCUUCAUCCCAUUCUUGGGGGAGGCACUCAUGGCCUAACAACCUCCUAAAGAACCUACUAUUUUGUGUAAUACCAUCAUAUCGGCUGCUGUUAACUAUCAGUACCUGAAUUUUGGAGGGAACACAUUCAAACUAUAGCAUUUAUUUAGGCUAAAAAGAUAGUUCAUUGUCAGUGUAUGAAAAACCUACUGAUUUUUUACGUUGAUUUUAUAUACUGCAACUUUAUUGAAUUCUCAACAAAUGGUGUUGAAAAAACUGGAUGUCCUCAUGAAGAAGAAUGAAAUUGAACACAUCACAUCCCAUAUACAAGAAUCAACUCAAAGUGGGUUGAAGACUUAAAUAUAAGAUCUGAAACUAUAAAACUAUUAGAAAUAAAAAACGUAAGAGGAAAGCUCCACACACUGAUCUGGACAAAGAUUUUUUUGACCAUGACCCUAAAAGCACAGGCAACAAAAACAAAAAGAGACCAUUAAUCUAUUAGUUAUUGUAUUGCAUCAAACUAAAAAGCUUACGCACAGCAAAGGAAACAAUUUACAAAAUAAAGAGACAACCCAUAGGUUAAGAGAAAAAUAUGUGCAAAUAAUACAUCUGUUAAGGGGCUCUAAUAUCCAAAAUACAGAGAGAAAUUAAACAACUCAAUAAUAAGAAAACAAGUGAUUACAUUAAAAAUAGUCAAAUGACUUGAACAGAUAUUUCUCAAAAGAAGACACAUAAAUGGCCAGUGGGUUAUUAAUAACAAAGCCCAAUAUCCCUAUCACUAAUCAUUGGGGAAAUGCAAAUUGAAACCACAAUUAAAUAUCACCUCAGAUCUGUCAGAAUGGCUAUUAUCAAAAAGAUGAAAUUUAAAUGUUGG